CCACGGGAGGCAGCAGUGGGGAAUAUUGCACAAUGGGGGAAACCCUGAUGCAGCGACGCCGCGUGAGUGAAGAAGUAAUUCGUUAUGUAAAGCUCUAUCAGCAGGGAAGAAAAUGACGGUACCUGAGUAAGAAGCCCCGGCUAACUACGUGCCCGCAGCCGCGGGAAUACGUAGGUGGCAAGCGUUAUCCGUAUUUACUGGGUGUAAAGGAAGCGUAGACGGCAGUGCAAGUCUGGAGUGAAAGGCGGGGGCUCAACCCCCGGACUGCUCUGGAAACUGUACGGCUGGAGUGCAGGAGAGGUAAGUGGAAUUCCUAGUGUAGCGGUGAAAUGCGUAGAUAUUAGGAGGAACACCAGUGGCGAAGGCGGCUUACUGGACUGUAACUGACGUUGAGGCUCGAAAGCGUGGGGAGCAAACAGGAUUAGAUACCCCGGUAGUC
This 439-nucleotide ribosomal RNA is filed under the name uncultured bacterium. RNAcentral's name for it is "partial 16S ribosomal RNA". It matches the Rfam family "Bacterial small subunit ribosomal RNA", at positions 339 to 795 of the family's 1533-position model. The record is from RNAcentral.